Long non-coding RNA from Labrus mixtus (cuckoo wrasse), 1502 nucleotides. RefSeq lists it as uncharacterized. The record is from RefSeq and is a predicted model, not a curated record. NCBI's taxonomy places the organism in Eukaryota, Metazoa, Chordata, Actinopteri, Labriformes, Labridae. The transcript has 2 exons.
CACACACACGCAUGAAUACUGUCAUCACAUACCUUCAGCCUGACAAAGACACCUGAGAGAGGCUUUGGCAGAGCGGUGCUGAGCAGUGUGAGGUGCGAUCACAGGGCCUUCAGUGAUACUGAUGUCACACUGUUUCUAUUGUGUGCGUGCGUGAGGGUGUUUUGCCCUUGACUGUUGGCACUUGACUGCAUGCUGGGAAGCAGGUUUGCCUGCAUGUGUGAGAAUUGGGCUGGAGUUAAACAUUAGCCUUACAGGUGCAACACUCUGUCUCACAAAUUCACUGCACAACACACACACACACACACACACACACACACACACACACACACACACACACACACACUGCCACCUUCCAUUUGAGAGAAUCACAUGAUAGAGAGAGAGAGAGAGAGAAUGAGUAUUUGUGUGUCUUUGUGUUUGUUCCAGGAGUAGUGAUGUGUAUGUGUGCAUAUGUGAGCCUGACAGUGGGUGAGGGGUGUAUUUGUGUCAGCACAAUCAACACAGAAGCAGGGGCGAAAGGAAGUGAAGGAUUUUUGAGCAUAUGCCAGUGUGAAAAUAUUUGUGUUAGCGUGUGUUUUCCAUGUGGAUUUUGUUUAAAUCUAACUAUGCUUACAGAGAGCGGAGCUAAGGGGGAGUAAAAAAGGCAUUCACACUGUUUUAGCGGCCCCCUUGUGGUUAAAAGGAUACAACAUUUCCUCUACUUGGCAAGCCAGGAUGAAAUUUGUGCAGCUUGAAUGUUGUGUUACCUGCGGGGGUCAUUCAUCAGUUAUCAAGCAACUUCUCAGGGGGAUUCUGUAUCCUGCUGACUUCGAGUCUGAGCCCAAUCCAAAACUGUUGGCUUCAAGCAUCCAAGCCUGAAAACUUACAGUCAAUUCUUCAGUUUCUUUUACUUUGUUUCCAGGUUAUCCGGGACUUUGUUUUUUGGAUGCUAGCACAAAACACUUGCUUUUGCUGAGUGAGUAACACAGACUAUGACAGACUGUGUGUGAAGUGCUAAGUGAGCAGAAGACUAGACGACAGCCUCUCACAGCGUUCGCCAACAGCAUCUUGCCUUGGCAAAAGAACUGUCCUUUUUGCACAGCGAGUGGUAGCUGAUCAAAUGUGUUUGUGCGUCUGCGUCUGCUUAUGUGCAUGUGUGUGUUUCUAAGUUUGUUCUGAACACGGAGUUUAGUCUGAAAAUGUGAGUGGCUGCCUGCUCUGAUAAUGACAGAUAAUGUGUGAGUUUCUUUUGGAUUUGUGCGUUAUCAUCACUGCCUAUGUGUUUGUGUGUGUGGUGUGUGUGUGUGUGUGUGUGUGUGUGUGCAUUUAUUCAUUUUAGCACAAUUGUGUUGCACCCUGCUGAUCGCAACAGUAUGCAUUGAAUGCUCCAGAGAGAGUGAUAUCAGUGUGCCAUUUAAACUAAUCUGUCAGGUAAAGAACCACAGCACAGACAUCUUUGUAUAUACACACACACACACACACACACACACACACACACACACACACACACACACACACACACA